GGUUGAUCCUGCCGGAGGUCACUGCUAUUGGGAUUCGAUUAAGCCAUGCGAGUCGAGAGGGUUCGGCCCUCGGCGGACUGCUCAGUAACACGUGGAUAAUCUGCCCUUAGGUGGAGCAUAACCUCGGGAAACUGAGAAUAAUACUCCAUAGGUUUAGGAUGCUGGAACGCGCCUAAACUGAAAGAUUUAUCGCCUAAGGAUGAGUCUGCGGACUAUCAGGUAGUAGUCAGGGUAAGGACCUGACUAGCCUACAACGGAUACGGGUUGUGAGAGCAAUAACCCGGAGAUGAUAUCUGAGACACGAUAUCGGGCCCUACGGGGCGCAGCAGGCGCGAAACCUUCGCACUGUGUGAAAACACGAUGAGGGGAUCCCAAGUGCUUGCACGUAAGUGUAAGCUGUUUCUUUGUUUAAAAUGCAUAGAGAGUAAGGGCUGGGUAAGACGGGUGCCAGCCGCCGCGGUAAUACCUGCAGCUCAAGUGGUGACCGCUAUUAUUGGGCCUAAAACGUCCGUAGCCUGCUUGGUAAAUGCCUGGGUAAAUCGCAUCGCUUAACGAUGCGAAUUCCGGGUAGACUGUCAAGCUUGAGACCGGGAGAAGUUAGAGGUACUCCUGGGGUAGAGGUGAAAUUCUGUAAUCCUAGGGGGACCACCAGUGGCGAAAGCGUCUAACUAGAACGGGUCUGACGGUGAGGGACGAAGCCCUGGGGCGCGAACCGGAUUAGAUACCCGGGUAGUCCAGGGUGUAAACGCUGCUUGCUUGAUGUUAGUCGGGCUCCGAGCCCGAUUAGUGUCGGAGAGAAGUUGUUAAGCAAGCUGCCUGGGAAGUACGGCCGCAAGGCUGAAACUUAAAGGAAUUGGCGGGGGAGCACAGCAACGGGUGGAGCGUGCGGUUUAAUUGGAUUC
This 902-nucleotide ribosomal RNA is filed under the name uncultured Thermoplasmatales archaeon. RNAcentral's name for it is "bacterial SSU rRNA". It matches the Rfam family "Archaeal small subunit ribosomal RNA", at positions 6 to 913 of the family's 1478-position model. The record is from RNAcentral. Lineage: Archaea; Methanobacteriati; Thermoplasmatota; Thermoplasmata; Thermoplasmatales.